GCCCGGCUAGCUCAAUCGGUAGAGCGUGAGACUCUUAAUUUCAAGGUUGUGGGUUCGACCCCCGCGUCGGGCU
Molecule: transfer RNA, 73 nt
Filed under: Thermochaetoides thermophila DSM 1495
Lineage: Eukaryota; Fungi; Ascomycota; Sordariomycetes; Sordariales; Chaetomiaceae
Description: tRNA-Lys (CTT) (tRNA-Lys-CTT-4-1)
Rfam family: tRNA
About the family: Transfer RNA (tRNA) molecules are approximately 80 nucleotides in length. Their secondary structure includes four short double-helical elements and three loops (D, anti-codon, and T loops).
Source: RNAcentral